Molecule: ribosomal RNA, 229 nt
Filed under: uncultured bacterium
Lineage: Bacteria
Description: partial 16S ribosomal RNA
Rfam family: Bacterial small subunit ribosomal RNA
Source: RNAcentral
UGCGCAGGCGGAAUGGUAAGUCAGUGGUGAAAUCCUACAGCUUAACUGUAGAACUGCUAUUGAUACUGUCAUUCUUGAGUACAUAUGAAGUGGGCGGAAUGUGUCAUGUAGCGGUGAAAUGCAUAGAUAUGACACAGAACACCGAUAGCGAAGGCAGCUCACUAAAUUGUAACUGACGCUCAUGCACGAAAGCGUGGGGAGCAAACAGGAUUAGAUACCCUGGUAGUCC